Molecule: ribosomal RNA, 310 nt
Filed under: uncultured bacterium
Lineage: Bacteria
Description: partial 16S ribosomal RNA
Rfam family: Bacterial small subunit ribosomal RNA
Source: RNAcentral
AAGAGACAGCAGCCGCCGCGGUAAUACGAAGGGUGCAAGCGUUAAUCGGAAUUACUGGGCGUAAAGCGUGCGUAGGCGGUUUGUUAAGUCUGCUGUGAAAUCCCCGGGCUCAACCUGGGAAUGGCAGUGGAUACUGGCAAGCUAGAGUGUGUCAGAGGAUGGUGGAAUUCCCGGUGUAGCGGUGAAAUGCGUAGAGAUCGGGAGGAACAUCAGUGGCGAAGGCGGCCAUCUGGGACAACACUGACGCUGAGGCACGAAAGCGUGGGGAGCAAACAGGAUUAGAUACCCCAGUAGUCCCUGUCUCUUAUAC